Molecule: ribosomal RNA, 497 nt
Filed under: uncultured bacterium
Lineage: Bacteria
Description: partial 16S ribosomal RNA
Rfam family: Bacterial small subunit ribosomal RNA
Source: RNAcentral
GACGAACGCUGGCGGCGUGCCUAAUACAUGCAAGUUGAGCGAUGAAGAUUGGUGCUUGCACCAAUUUGAAGAGCAGCGAACGGGUGAGUAACGCGUGGGGAAUCUGCCUUUGAGCGGGGGACCACAUUUGGAAACGAAUGCUAAUACCGCAUAACAACUUUAAACAUAAGUUUUAAGUUUGAAAGAUGCAAUUGCAUCACUCAAAGAUGAUCCCGCGUUGUAUUAGCUAGUUGGUGAGGUAAAGGCUCACCAAGGCGAUGAUACAUAGCCGACCUGAGAGGGUGAUCGGCCAAAGUGGGACGGAGACACGGCCCAAAAUCCUACGGGAGGCAGCAGUAGGGAAUCUUCGGCAAUGGACGAAAGGCUGACCGAGCAACGCCGCGUGAGUGAAGAAGGUUGUCGGAUCGGAAAACUCUGUUGGUAGAGAAGAAAGGUGGUGAGAGUGGAAAGCUCAUCAAGUGACGGUAACUACCCAGAAAGGGACGGCUAACUACGUG